This is a long non-coding RNA of Aedes aegypti (yellow fever mosquito), 536 nucleotides long. RefSeq lists it as uncharacterized. The record is from RefSeq and is a predicted model, not a curated record. The transcript is spliced from 3 exons. Lineage: Eukaryota; Metazoa; Arthropoda; Insecta; Diptera; Culicidae.
AAAAUUAAAACAUUUUGAAACAUCUGAAUUAAAUUUUCUUUAGUGUCUAGGUAGAUGUUUUUUUAGAGUGUAUUGUUUUCAGUGGCUAGCCGGGAGGUUGAAAACAUCAUCCUGCGAUGGAGAUCCAAUUUAUCGGUUGGUGGAGGAAGAUUCAUCGAUUACUUAAAGAAUCUAUCGGGAUUUGAGUGACCAGGAUGGCAGUUCCAAAAAGUUCCGUCGAUGGCUCAAAGUUUCGUGGAGCAAAGGAUCAACGUUUGCUGCUCUCAUACUACUGGAUUCGAAGAGGCGAUGUUGGGCGAGUUAAUGAUCGCAUUUGAACCCGAAGUGUAAGGUUCAGAUGCAAGACCAAAUUCGACGGAGCUUGCAAUAAAGGCCGAAGACAGCACAGCGAAAAAGGAAUCAUUAUAUCAUUUCAAGAAUACACCAUAUUUUUUUCCUAGAAAAGUUUAGAAUAAAACGGCUUCCAAAAAAGUGUAUAAAAUGUUUUUCUUUUGAUUCACACAUGUAAGAUAAACAGGAAUAAAAUACCGUAAAAA